RNAcentral lists this ribosomal RNA (505 nucleotides) under Trichodorus primitivus. Its description in RNAcentral is "SSU rRNA". It matches the Rfam family "Eukaryotic small subunit ribosomal RNA", at positions 88 to 590 of the family's 1831-position model. Lineage: Eukaryota; Metazoa; Nematoda; Enoplea; Triplonchida; Trichodoridae. The record is from RNAcentral.
CGCGAAUGGCUCAUUACAACAGCCAUAGUUUAUUGGAUGUUUACGUUCCUACAAGGACACCUGCGGUAAUUCUGGAGCUAAUACUUGCGAAAUGCGACAACCUCACGGGAGUCGUGCAUUUAUUAGAUUAAACCAAUCGGUCCUUCGGGACCGCCAUUUGGUGAACUCUGAAUAGCUUAGCUGAUCGCACAGUCUCGUACUGGCGACAAAUCUUUCAAGUGUCUGCCUUAUCAACUUUCGAUGGUAGUUUAUACGACUACCAUGGUUGUAACGGGUAACGGAGAAUAAGGGUUCGACUCCGGAGAGGGAGCCUGAGAAACGGCUACCACAUCCAAGGAAGGCAGCAGGCGCGCAAAUUACCCACUCGCAGAACGCGGAGGUAGUGACGAAAAAUAACGAGGUGGCUCUCUAUGAGGUCCAUCAUCGGAGUGGGUACAAUUUAAACCCUUUAACGAGUAUCUAUGAGAGGGCAAGUCCGGUGCCAGCAGCCGCGGUAAUUCCAGCU